GUGUGGUUUAUGACUGGGGUGAAGUCGUAACAAGGUAACCAUAGGGGAACCUGUGGUUGGAUCACCUCCUUU
Molecule: ribosomal RNA, 72 nt
Filed under: Succinivibrio faecicola
Lineage: Bacteria; Pseudomonadati; Pseudomonadota; Gammaproteobacteria; Aeromonadales; Succinivibrionaceae
Description: Succinivibrio sp. AGMB01872 partial 16S ribosomal RNA
Rfam family: Bacterial small subunit ribosomal RNA
Source: RNAcentral